RNAcentral lists this long non-coding RNA (706 nucleotides) under Helianthus annuus (common sunflower). RNAcentral describes it as "sRNA HanXRQr2_Chr09g0410321". Lineage: Eukaryota; Viridiplantae; Streptophyta; Magnoliopsida; Asterales; Asteraceae. The record is from RNAcentral.
AACAAAUGGUGAUGCUUGGACAUCGAUACUCAACCUUCAGAAGCAACUGAAUCGAUACAUCCCGACUGGUGUUGAUAUAGGACUUUGUUAGAGGUCCUUCUCGACUGAAGAAAAGACGGAAAACCACCAUAGUGUAUUAUCAAGAAGAAACGAAAUGAACUAAAUGACGGCAAAGAAUCAGGUUUGCUCGCAACGGUAGAUUGGACCAUGCUUAGUGAAUGAAGAUGACGCAAUACUUGGUGUUUCCGACUUCAAAUAAACGGGCCAACACGCAAGAGACUUCAGACCAUAUUUUGGCUGAAUGCGACUUUGCGAAGGAAGUUUAGAGGUGAGUUCACAACGGGAUAGAAGUUCCAGCCCCAAUCUCUUUUUAUUCUGCAAAACACGUGUUGAAGCAUGCUUGCGGGGUUGACAGGUCGAAAAGAUUAAAGUAGGUUAUAAAAGCGAUCUUUAUGAAGGCGACGUGACGAAUAUGGCUCUGUCGGAUUGAGAGGAUAUUCAGCGGUAAAGCUUCUUCAGUGCAACUGGUAAUGGAAAAGAUUAAGGCUGAAUCCUACUGGUGGGCUGUUAAAAGAGCCAAAAUUAUUGGGCUUGUGUUGGAGAAAUGGAGCAAUUUGGAAAACCUGGGCAGUGUAUAGGGCGGGCGGUGGCUGUGUCUUUUGGCUAGCAAUUGUAUUCUUCUUUUUUUCACUUUUGUUUGGUGUAU